Molecule: ribosomal RNA, 509 nt
Filed under: uncultured bacterium
Lineage: Bacteria
Description: partial 16S ribosomal RNA
Source: RNAcentral
GGAGUUAGCCGGUGCUUCUUCUGUGAGUGAUGUCCUUCCUGCCGGCUAUUAACCCGCAGGCCUUCUUCCUCACUGAAAGUGCUUUACAACCCGAAGGCCUUCUUCACACACGCGGCAUGGCUGGAUCAGGGUUGCCCCCAUUGUCCAAUAUUCCCCACUGCUGCCUCCCGUAGGAGUCUGGGCCGUGUCUCAGUCCCAGUGUGGCUGAUCAUCCUCUCAGACCAGCUACGGAUCGUCGCCUUGGUGAGCCGUUACCUCACCAACCAGCUAAUCCGACAUAGGCUCAUCCGAUAGCGCGAGGCCCGAAGGUCCCCCGCUUUCCCCCGUAGGGCGUAUGCGGUAUUAGCCUGGGUUUCCCCAGGGUUACUCCCCCACUACCGGGCAGAUUCCUAUGCAUUACUCACCCGUCCGCCGCUCGCCACCAGGGAGCAAGCUCCCCGUGCUGCCGCUCGACUUGCAUGUGUUAGGCCUGCCGCCAGCGUUCAAUCUGAGCCAGGAUCAAACUCUGA